AUUUAAGUCACUUUUUGAGUAUCUGCUUGCCUAACAUCUCUGAUUCUUUCUCAUCCAGGGAGAUGAGGCCUGGCUCCAGAUGCAUUGAAUCUGCUGGCCUUCUGCUCUUCCUUCUCACGUCAGUGUGGGUGAGGCACUGUGUGCAUGUCUGCAACAAGGUGGCUCAAUGGAGUCUCAACUACAGCAAAGCCAUCAUGUGUUACUCCCGGGAGAACAUUCUGAGGUUCAAAGAGCAAGGAUCCAGGCAAAUGCGGCUCUGCUCUGCGUGUCAUCAUGACUGGCCAAGUCCAUCCAGGCAGCUCCCUGCAGGAGGGCUGGAGUGAUGGCUGUCAUCGCCUGCCUUAUGCACUUGUGCCUCCUCCUGGAUUUGCUGCAGGGGGCUUGGGGGCUCUGUGUGUGGAAGCCUCUCAGAGAGCGGUGGAACAAAGGAGAACCCAACAAACGUGUAAAAGUCACUGGAUGAUUCACAAACAGCAGCAAGAAGGAAAUGUUUCCCAAGAUGAGUAUGUCAUUUGCUGAAAGUCUGGCCAAAGAUUUAGGAGGAGCUUCAGCUGCCCAAAGGGACCUCAGGGCCCCAGUCCAGAGUGGGGCCCCUAGACCCAGCUGUGAUUCCAAGUAACCUUCACUUCUUUGAAAUAUGCACCCUCAGUGAGCAUCCCCAGCUACCCAGACAGGUGUCAUACUCAUGGUCCCCGAGAGGUGGGAAACCAUGGAACCCUCACUGUUGCUUGACUGGCCCAGGUUGGAUGAAGUGUAGGCCUCCCAGACUCCAGCUUUCCUGGAGAUCAGAAACCACUAUUAACACAUUAAGGGACACAUUGUUUUUUGGGUCUUGGACUAAAUUAUAAGAAGCACUGUGACUUCCAAAAGCAGCCUGAGACCCCCUGAGUCCUCCAGGGGCUUCAUGCUGACAGGCUGGGUCAGAAAUACUGGCACUUGGGCAAGACAUCUGCUUUUGUUUCCAGCAUCGAGGAGAUUUACUGAUAACCAGAGCCACGUUCUAGCAGUCUGAUCUGGUGUGUGAUGUUCCUAUUCAAGGGGGUUAUAGCGCACCAUUCUGCACCAGGAGAAAUGUUGGCCAUCAGUGCAAAUACUGGGGGUUUCAACAGCUAGGAAAAUAAAAGCUUUGAAAUAAACA
RNAcentral lists this long non-coding RNA (1138 nucleotides) under Felis catus (domestic cat). RNAcentral describes it as "lncRNA (ENSFCAG00000046952.1)". The record is from RNAcentral. Lineage: Eukaryota; Metazoa; Chordata; Mammalia; Carnivora; Felidae.